This 494-nucleotide ribosomal RNA is filed under the name uncultured bacterium. RNAcentral's name for it is "partial 16S ribosomal RNA". It matches the Rfam family "Bacterial small subunit ribosomal RNA", at positions 28 to 507 of the family's 1533-position model. The record is from RNAcentral.
GACGAACGCUGGCGGCGUGCUUAACACAUGCAAGUCGAACGGAAAGGCCUGCUUUCCCUUGUGGAUUGCGGGUACUCGAGUGGCGAACGGGUGAGUAACACGUGAGUGAUCUGCCCCCAACUUGGGUAUAAGCCUGGGAAACUGGGUCUAAUUCCCGAUAGGACUGCAGGGUGGUGCCUGUGGUGGAAAACGAUUUUCUAGUGGUUGGGGAUGAGCUCGCGGCCUAUCAGCUUGUUGGUGGGGUAAUGGCCUACCAAGGCGGCGACGGGUAGCCGGCCUGAGAGGGUGGACGGCCACAUUGGGACUGAGAUACGGCACAGACUCCUACGGGAGGCAGCAGUGGGGAAUAUUGCACAAGGGGCGGAAGCCUGAUGCAGCGACGCCGCGUGGGGGAUGACGGCCUUCGGGUUGUAAACUCCUUUCGACCGCGAGGAAGCCACCUGGUUGGAAGGGUGGUGACGGUAGUGGUAGAAGAAGCACCGGCUAACUACGUG